Molecule: ribosomal RNA, 469 nt
Filed under: uncultured bacterium
Lineage: Bacteria
Description: bacterial SSU rRNA
Rfam family: Bacterial small subunit ribosomal RNA
Source: RNAcentral
GAUGAACGCUAGCGGCAGGCUUAAUACAUGCAAGUCGUGGGGCAGCAGGUUUGUAGCAAUACAGAUGCUGGCGACCGGCGAACGGGUGCGGAACACGUACAGAACCUUCCUUUGAGCGGGGAAUAGCCCAGAGAAAUUUGGAUUAAUACCCCAUAGUAUAAUGAAGUGGCAUCACUUUAUUAUUAAAGAUUUAUCACUCGAAGAUGGCUGUGCGGCUGAUUAGGUAGUUGGCGGGGUAAAGGCCACCAAGCCUGCGAUCAGUAACUGGUGUGAGAGCACGACCAGUCACACGGGCACUGAGACACGGGCCCGACUCCUACGGGAGGCAGCAGUAAGGAAUAUUGGUCAAUGGAGGCAACUCUGAACCAGCCAUGCCGCGUGGAGGAUGAAGGUCCUCUGGAUUGUAAACUUCUUUAUAUGGGACGAAAAAAGGCUUUUCUAAGUCGUCUGACGGUACCAUAUGAAUAAG